Molecule: long non-coding RNA, 1377 nt
Filed under: Homo sapiens (human)
Lineage: Eukaryota; Metazoa; Chordata; Mammalia; Primates; Hominidae
Description: HSALNT0272625
Source: RNAcentral
GAGGAUUUGUUCUUUUGCUGUUUGUAAUAAAUCUUGCUGCAGCUAACUUUUUGGGUCUGCGCCGCUUUUAUGAGCUGUAAUACUCACCGCGAAGGUCUGCAGCUUCACUCCUGAGGCCAGCAAGACCAUGAACCCACCGGAAGGAACGAAACUCCAGACGUGCAGCCUUUAAGAGCUGUAACACUCACCGUGAAGGUCUGCAGCUUCGCUCCUGAAGUCAGCGAGACCACGAAACCACCAGAAGGAACAAACUCCAGACACACCAUCUUUAAGAACUGUAACACUCACCGCGGGGGUCUGCUGCUUCAUUCUUGAAGUCAGUGAGACGAAGAAGCCACCAAUUCCGGACGCACUACAACAUGAAUGAAUCUCAAAAAUAUUAUGUUCCUUGAGAAAGAGGAGUCAAAUCCAAAAAGGACAUUAGUUGAGACUCUGAAGACCAUCCCUAUUUUGGGAAAGCUCAAGAUGGGUGGCAGCAGGACCCUGGUUCCCAUUAAGGAGGCCUGAGUUUCCAGCUGCUCUGCUCCCAUUGCAGCAAGGCAAUGGACAUUUGAAUAAGGGAAUCAAGAACCCUGCACAGCACUCCUGUUCUGGGGCCCAGGACAUUGACUACAAAGCUUAACAGUACCCAUUCGGAGGUGUUAAGCUGGCUUUAGCCACGGAAAUCAGAACACAAGGACGUUGAGGAGUUGAGGUGAAAUCAGACUCUCAAAAGAGCGAAAGUAGUGAAAGAGACUGGCUUCUUUUUCAUAUUUGAAAUAUGUAAUAAUUAUUCUUAAAUUCUCUCUUUAUAUUUGAUCUGCCUGUAUCCAAAGUGGACAUCUGCCUUCAGCAAUAAAAGCUCCCAUGGCUUCCUCUUUUAAGGUUUAUUUCUUUCUCGAAUUCGGUUCAACUAGGAUUCUUUACAUCAUCUACUGUUCUUUAUUAGGCCCAUGGAGAAGUGUGAUUUUUUUUUUUGUCCAAGAUUUUGUGGUUGUUAUGGGAGGGAAGAUCUUUCUUAAUCAUCUGUAUACUACCUGGAAGUAGAAAGUUUCUUCUUUUUUCACUUGGUACCUGCAAAUCAACUUAGGAGUUUUUUGGAAUUUUCUGAACUUUCUGAUAAAAUGAUUGUGACCAUUUUUACUUUGCUGUAUUUUUUUUUUGGCCUAAUUGAAAUAUCUGCUGGAGAGAACUCAGAAUUUUGGAGCAGUACGGGAUGUAAAAAUCAUCUGGUCCAAUUAGUGAUGCUUGUCUGUGGCUCUCUCAAUAAUGCUGAGGUUGUGGGCGUGUGCCCCAUGAUUUGGGGGACUUGAGUGUAAUGUCUUCUAUGACCAUGACUUGUCUUCUAAUCCAGGUUAACCACCUUUAAUCUACAUGUUGCCAUUUCUAAGGGGGAAA